GGCGGCAUGCCUAACACAUGCAAGUCGAACGGUAACAGGCCCGCAAGGGUGCUGACGAGUGGCGGACGGGUGAGGAAUACAUCGGAAUCUGCCCGGUUGUGGGGGAUAACGUAGGGAAACUUACGCUAAUACCGCAUACGACCGAGAGGUGAAAGCGUGGGAUCCGCAAGGACCUCGCGCAGCCGGAUGAGCCGAUGUCGGAUUAGCUAGUUGGCGGGGUAAAGGCCCACCAAGGCGACGAUCCGUAGCUGGUCUGAGAGGAUGAUCAGCCACACUGGGACUGAGACACGGGCCAGACUCCUACGGGAGGCAGCAGUGGGGAAUAUUGGACAAUGGGGGCAACCCUGAUCCAGCAAUGCCGCGUGUGUGAAGAAGGCCUUCGGGUUGUNNAGCACU
This 396-nucleotide ribosomal RNA is filed under the name uncultured Gammaproteobacteria bacterium. Its description in RNAcentral is "bacterial SSU rRNA". It matches the Rfam family "Bacterial small subunit ribosomal RNA", at positions 38 to 434 of the family's 1533-position model. The record is from RNAcentral. Lineage: Bacteria; Pseudomonadati; Pseudomonadota; Gammaproteobacteria.